UUGUUUCACUCAUGUUCUUCCUGGUAUCAUUUUUUUAUACAUAAAUCUUUGUAUCGUGUUUCCAACGCGCACUAUUUAACUUAAUUCUUUAACAUUUAUAAUUACUUUCUAAAAUGGAUUUGAUGUAUUGCGUUCCGCUCCUGAUACUAGGGAUCCUCUUUCAGCAGAUCGCUCCAGAAUGCCAAUACCCCAGUCAGCUUAAAGGCGAAUGGGUUACCAGUGAUCGUGGGAAAUGGACUUUUGUCAACGAAACAAUUGUACGAGGAAUUACAGUAGACAUGCCAGGUUUAAGGACAUUGGAUUUCUUCUGCAUAGACCAAGUCGGAUCAACGUAUCUACUACAGGCGGUGCAGUUUAUCAAUAUCUUUGAGAAAAUAACUCGAUUUUUCGCAUGCUGGAACGUUACGGAAAUAUCAGAAGAUGUUUUCAAAUAUUAUUCUGAAACAGAAUAUGAUGUUUUUUUGGCGGAAAAUAUUUUUGGCACAGUGGAUUAUAUAGCCACAUUAGAGGAGGCAUGUAACAGACGAACGAAGCCGACCUCAUCCAAGACGUUCAAUAUCAUUGCGAGAAAAACAAGUCUAGAAAGUGGAAUGGCUGCACGUAAAUGUUCCAUGGAUCUGCGUGACGUAUUUAAAAACGUCACUUUCAUGAGAAACGGCGCUGUGUGCGACAACGUAACUAUGGACGGAUAUAGGGAUGACCGAAAAUUGAUGUUUGCCUCCCAUUUGACCAUGAACGGUUGUUCAUCUGUAGUAUUAUCUGGAGAAUAUUCAUGCUUGUAUCAUGUGGAAUCAGAAGGAACGACAUUUGUAUCAGUUUGGCAUAACGAAUCCUACAGUUUCUCGUGUAUUGCAUAUCGAAAAGAAGGCGAUAUUAUCUACGCCACGUGGACGAUGAUGUUCUGUAGUGCCAAUUUGAGUGAAGAUGACCCAAAUUACUAUCGAAGAGAUACAAGUUUAGAAACAGAAAUAAUAUUUUCAGGAUCUGAAUAUGCAGGUAUGAUUUAUUUUGCAUUUUAAAUAAUGCAUACAGCUUCUGCAUGUAAACAUAUAUAAUUAUCUUUAAGACACAUUUAUGUAAUGUUCAUUUAGUGGAUGUCCAAUGAUUUCAGUGAUUUUAUAUAAAAAAUAUAUACAUUGAAUUUUUCGUAUUAUAUAAUUCCUGUCAUACCACUAUACAAAGUUUGUUUCCACAUAGUAGUAUAUGCAUGCAAUACAAUUACUUUCGCUUUAAUGAACAUUAUCUAUGUUGACAUAAAAUGCCGUUGUCAUUUUGUUUUAUAGAGUAUAUUGAUAUACAAUGGCGUACAGGCAUUGCUAUUUGAUAUCUUUUGAAAGUUGAUCUAUCAACCAAUGUCCAUAAGAUGUAUUCAAAUAUGGAUAUCACAUAAUUGUUUUACUAUGCUUUCGAUUUGUCAUGUGUAUUCCAUGUAUUGCAAUGGACACCUGUGUUAUGUUUGUCUAUAACAGUCUUGUUGUGUCAUGUAAAUGCUGUUGUGGUGUGUUGUUAUAUAGCGUCAUGUCAUGCGUUAUUGUUAAGUUGUCCAUCGUUCUAUUGUUAUAAUGUCUUUGUCGUGGCAUCAUAAGGUGUGCUAUUACUGUCUCUAUGAAUGAAAUGAAGUAUGUGUAUGAGUUGUAAUAAACUAUAUUCGUUUGAAAUAAUGUUAUAUUCAUUCCAACAUGAUUAUACAAUAAAUGUCUACAUUAUAUUAUUGGAAAUAUACAAAUUGUGUUUUCAAAUAUGUUUUACUUUGUAUUAUCCAUUUUGUAUCAACAUAACGUGUAUGGUUUUGCAUUACACUAUUGUUUUACUAAAACUAGUUUUAAACUACUGAAAUAUGAACUUUUCAAUAUUAUCAUUAUAUUCCAUUUGGUGUAUCAAUGAAUGCAUUUUACACCAACCUACCUUAACACAAGAUAUUCAGGAACAGUUUCCAGGAUGACGGAGUGACGCCAUGUACGUUUCCGGAAGGACUAAGAGGAGUAUGGAUAACAUCCGAUAGAGG
This 2005-nucleotide unclassified non-coding RNA is filed under the name Mizuhopecten yessoensis (Yesso scallop). RNAcentral describes it as "uncharacterized LOC110466721, transcript variant X1". Lineage: Eukaryota; Metazoa; Mollusca; Bivalvia; Pectinida; Pectinidae. The record is from RNAcentral.